CGAGUUUCUGAGGCGUAUUUGUUUGUUACUUCUGGAACUAAGGACGUCAGCCGAGACAUUUUUCUCAAAUUCUGGAAUAAACGAAGAAAAAUGGCUACCUUGUUACGAGAGAUUUGUCACAUCUGUGAUUCAUCUCUCGCAGCUCGAUAUCAACCUCCACAAAGGGAAUUUUAUUUUCAUUUGAACCUCACAUCGCCCUCGCGAGAUCAUCUUGAAGUAUUACGAUUCCAAAAAGGUGAUGUCGUUGCCGCUGACCAAAAGCGUUUACGAUUGCAUAUGGGCUUCGAACUGGAAUGAACGAAAGUCGAAACAAAUGAAGAACAGGUUUCUUUUUUUGAACUGUAUUGUGAGAGGCCAAGCAGGCAAAGGAUUUGAACGCAGACCAUGGAGGUACAUAAUGGUAUUUGAUACAAGGCACAGACGGCAAAGCAGCAAGGACUUAAAUACGGAGCUGAGCCCGCGGAUGAGCAGUGUAAAUGCAUUCGCAAUGUUCACAGAUUUAAGCUCGAAGCCAUUGACUAUACUUGAUGUGAAUUUCGAAGACAUUCAUAGCCAUGUAAUCUGCAUGCCAGGUACAAGGGACGCCAGGGGUGCACCUGUGGUAUUUGUGGAUACUGGAAUGUUGGAAUGGCAGAUUCCAGAUUUCAACAGCGAAGAAAUAGCACAAAUAUGUCUAUAUUUGCUUCAAAUU
This is a long non-coding RNA of Xenia sp. Carnegie-2017, 691 nucleotides long. RefSeq lists it as uncharacterized. NCBI's taxonomy places the organism in Eukaryota, Metazoa, Cnidaria, Anthozoa, Malacalcyonacea, Xeniidae. The transcript has 3 exons. The record is from RefSeq and is a predicted model, not a curated record.